GCCACCGCCGAGCCAUGUUCCGAGGUGCCACAUCUACACGGAAUGACAUGCUGCAUCAGGAAUCAGAGAUGUCACGUCCAUGGAAAGCUGGUGUCACUGAUGAGCCCUUCUGAGACCUACAGCUCAGAGCUGGAGCCUAGGCAGGGUAGGAACAGGAAGCCAAUAUCUGUGCAUGCACCGGGAUUUACAGACACAAGCUGCUUUACAAGAAAAUCUGCAACAGAUAAGAAUUCUCCCUUGCUGUAAAAACACCCAAGCCUCAUUUUCAGUGACACUCUACAGGAAAUGAAGAUUAUAUUUGAUUUGUAGUAGCCCCAGAGGAACAGAAGUGUUUCUUUUGCAUUUACCAGCAUAUAAGAGCCCUCCAUUUCAAGAUACUACUUAUGGCAAUGAAGAAGCAAUAAGAAAAGCCUACAAAUAUUCUCCAGUAUAAGAGACAUUUUGCAUCUUUCUACCAAUAUCAGUCAUCCUUUCCUCUUACUGGAACAAAGUUCCCUUUUAAGAAGGAAGUCAGGACUGACCAAGCAGAUGUGUGUUAUUCCUGAAAGCAGAGCUUGGCUGAGAUGUGCAGGGGCUGCACUGCUGAGAAGAGGUCCCAAACUUCCCACAUCUUCUCAAGAAUGCACAUUUCUUGAGACAUGAGAUAAAUGUAGUAUAUUUCCCAUUACUAAUCCUGAAUAGUUUUCAGUAAUUUGUGGUCAUGUGUUUACUAAUUACUUUCAACAUCUGCAAUAUAUAUUUAAAACAAUGGCAUUUGUCCUGGCUGACGCUGCUCUUUACAAACUGACAUCUCAUCUGAUUUCCCAAGAAUUUCACGGGAAAGAGAUCUACCAGGAUCCUGGUGCACCACAAUCUGUGGAAGGAGGCUGACUCUGGAAGAGGACAAAAUUAAACUAUAGUUGUCCUGAAGGAAACAUGAUGUAGAAUGGACCAUUAGGCAUGAAACAAUGUGUAUUUCCUAUAGCUUCCCCCCAUCCUGCCUAUCCAAGCUUUAAUAUGUUAUGUUCUCAAGAUCUGUCCAUAGCAUUAAAGAGAGCUAUUUGAAGUGA
This is a long non-coding RNA of Agelaius phoeniceus (red-winged blackbird), 1049 nucleotides long. RefSeq lists it as uncharacterized. The record is from RefSeq and is a predicted model, not a curated record. Lineage: Eukaryota; Metazoa; Chordata; Aves; Passeriformes; Icteridae.